Molecule: long non-coding RNA, 2932 nt
Filed under: Equus caballus (horse)
Lineage: Eukaryota; Metazoa; Chordata; Mammalia; Perissodactyla; Equidae
Description: lncRNA (ENSECAG00000052909.1)
Source: RNAcentral
CUUGAAACGUGAUGCUGACUGAAAGAAGCCAGUCACAAAGGACCACAUACUGUAUGAUCCCAUUUAUAUGAAAUGUCCAGAGCAGGCAAAUCUGUAGUGGCAGAAAGUAGAUUAGGGGUUGCCAGAGGCUGAGCGCAUAAGGUAUGAGUGGAUGGCGAAGUCUAAGGGGUGUGGGGUUUCUUUGGGAUAGUAAAAAUGCUCUAAAAUUCAUUGAUGGUUGCACGACUCUGUGAUCAUACGAAAAGCCUUUGAAUUGUAAACUUUAACUGCGUGAACUAUACCUCAAGUGUGUUAAAAAAUAAUGAAGGACAAAACUCAGACUUCAUCUUUAGACAGGAACUUACUCUCACUGUAACAAGUGCGCAAAACCCGCUUCUGAACGGGCACAAUUUUAAGCCCGUUUCUGAAGUUUUCAGGAGACUUACGUUUUCUCCCACCUGGGGAUGUGUGCGUCCCAGCUGGGCCUUCUGUUACGCGGUGUCGUCUUCACCUUGGGCUACGGUGAUUCUUCAAAGGUUUGCGGCAGAAAUGCCAUUUCGAAAGAAUGGUCCAGAUUUUUCUGUCCCAUAAAAUCACAGCCAUGUUGUUUUAAAGACGUUUAUGUUCUGCCUGACAAGGAAUGUGAUUUUUAUUCCAUUUCCAUCCCCUCUGCGAUAGGAACGCCCUUCAUGCUUCACUGUUUCCCUCUGUAGGUACAAAUCUUCCAGCUGUGUGAACCGCUUCCUGCCCACCUUGGCCUUCUCUGUGGCCUUCUCAGGAAGACUGCCUGAUUCUGAGGGUGCCUUAAGGAAGCGUAAAGAGAGAUUGCACAACGCUGUUUGCAUCUGUAAUUAGGUCUGAGUCUGUUUAGAAAUUGUGAUAUUUUAGAAAAGCCCCUUUUCUGAAUAUGUUUCUGAGACUCAAACAGUGGGGACUUGAGCGCAGCUUGAAAGAGAAUGACUCAGGGCAGCUUUCCUGACACCUCCCCCCUUCUUUGCUGGCUGCAUCUUGCACCCAUCGGCAGAGCAGGGCGAGCAGCCGCUUCCGAUGCUGCUGCGGUGUCGAUGCUCCAGGCGGCUCCAGGCGAGCAGAUGCUCCUCGACGUUGACACACCAUCACUCUGUCCUUGGACAAAGACUCGGCGAGACUCUGGGUCCUCGGGACAAAGCCCGGCCCCUCCCAGCAGGGUUGACCGAAGAUCCUUGGAGACAAGAGCAGGUGGACACACGGCGUGGCGCAGGCCUUCUGGGAGGAUUCUGGAGACCGCAUAGGAUCCUCGCAAGUUGCAAGAUGGGGAUUCAGCCUCAGGUUUUCUGUCCCUAAGCCGGCAUCUCACACCGUCGCCUCUGGAACAGGCAGCCAGCGUGGCCCUGCAGAGAGCGCGUCGCCGAGCAGUCAGGCACCACUGAGGUGGGGCAGCCUUGUCAGCCAGCAGAACAGACGCUCCCAGCUGGAGCUGAGACCCUCCCAGUCCGUCUCGGGAGGCGAGAGGAGGAGGACCACCGAAAGGCCACACGAGGGCCCGUGGCGCGGCUGGGGUCACAGGUGGGACCCUGUCAGCCAGGUCCCAUCUGGCCCCACAUCCUGGUCGUAAACGCUCCCCGACUCCAACCAGCCCCUCCCUCUUCUCAACACUCAGGGCUUUAGAAAGGCAGCAGAGGUUGUGCAGAUGGACUAAACCCACUCUGCACACAGGCUGUGGAGACAGAGUGAGCAGGUGAUGGAAACAGAGCCCUCUGUGCACAACCACCUGUUAUGGGGCAGAUGGAAGGGGCCGGGACCCGGGGAAGAUCCCCUCCCGGGAGCAGCUCUCCAGGGUGAGGAGGGGCCCUCUCAGCCUCUUGUUUUCCGUCACAUCUGCCUCUGGGACCCUGGUUUCCCAGUGCCACGCUGACCGUGACUCGUCUCCACCGUCCUGCUCUUGGUGACCACAGCAGUGUCAGCAGUCCUGCUGCUCUGGACCCCACGGGGCUGUUGAGAAAGCUCAGGGGCAGGAGGGGCCUGGCGGAGGCACUGUGUGCUCAGAGAGAGGCAGGGGGACGGAUGUGGGCCUGGACUGUGCGGCAGGUGAGGGGCAGGCGGGACGGGGACAGACGCUGAGGUGCGUGACCAGGAGGGAAGCUCAGGGGCUUUCAGCCCCCUACACUCUUCCCUCGGAAGCCGUGCGCCCAGCCUGGGAGAGCCGGCGAGGAGUACUCGUGACUCCAACCCUCCAGCCUCCUCCCCGCCACCCAUGCUGCAGGGAGGGGAGGAGACAACAGGGAGGGGCUCUGUCCUCGUGGGAAAAUACGCAUAAAAUUUACCAUUUCUCAGUGUACGGUUCAGCGGCCUUAAGUACCCUCCACUGUUAUAUACCGUCAGCCCCCUCCAUCUCCAGAACUUUCUCAUUAAACAUUCACUCCCCAGCACCCCCUUCUACUCCUGUCUCCAUGGAUGCGACUCCUCUAGGUCCCUCAGAUAAGAGGGAUCUACAGUAUUUGUCCUUUUGUGACCAGCUUAUUUCACUUAACAUAUCUCCUCAAGGUUCCCCUUGUAGCAUGUGUCAGAAUUUUCUUCCUUUUCAGGGCUGAAUCAUAUUCCAUUGUGCAGACAGGCCACAUUUUGUCAUCCACUCAUCCGUCGAAGGACUCUGGGUUCCUUCUUCCAGGGAGGGCACGGAGUGCCGGGCCAGAGUCAGGAGCCCGAACGUGGAUACCAUGCCCCCCAACUUCUGAGCCCCCCGAGCUCUGAUGCUCCCACUGGGAAAUGACAGGACUAUGGUAAAACAGGCCGACACACUCGGAGUUCUGUACGUUCUUCCAAGGUCCCCCAAUCUCCACCCUGGUGAUUAUGCUUAUAGAAACUUACUGAAGAAGGGGAGGAGGUGCAGAGAGAGGAGCGACCUCGCUGGGCGAGCACCAGAAACGCCUGCACCCUUUACAUGGGGAAGACCACACCAAAAUUUACACGAAGG